Molecule: ribosomal RNA, 253 nt
Filed under: uncultured bacterium
Lineage: Bacteria
Description: partial 16S ribosomal RNA
Rfam family: Bacterial small subunit ribosomal RNA
Source: RNAcentral
UACAGAGGGGGCAAGCGUUGUUCGGAAUUACUGGGCGUAAAGGGCGCGUAGGCGGCCUUCUAAGUCGAACGUGAAAUCCCUGGGCUCAACCCAGGAACUGCGUCCGAUACUGGAAGGCUUGAAUCCGGGAGAGGGAUGCGGAAUUCCAGGUGUAGCGGUGAAAUGCGCAGAUAUCAGGAGGAACACCGAUUGCGAAGGCAGCUCGCUGGAACGUUACUGACGCUGAGACGCGAAAGCGUGGGGAGCAAACAGG